Molecule: small RNA, 306 nt
Filed under: Histoplasma ohiense
Lineage: Eukaryota; Fungi; Ascomycota; Eurotiomycetes; Onygenales; Ajellomycetaceae
Description: hypothetical lncRNA
Source: RNAcentral
UGUUGUUUCAAACGUGCAUUCCGCCUUUAUGAUCUUAGAAUGACCCCGAUAAUAUCAGAUCUGCCAGAGGAACCAUAACCAACAAAAAGCUGGAAUAUCCCACCAGGAAUUGGCAUCCAGCUGGAUAGGUAUUUUCGCGGAGACAGCGUGAAAACCAGCGCGGCCAGCAACCUGUUUUCUCAGCUCAGCUGUAUGCUGAGUGCAUGUUGGAUGACAUUUGGACUAAUGAUUUUGCAAUAAUCCUGUAGGCGAGCGAACGGGAAGAGAAAUUCCGAGGUGAAACCAGUUUCACACCCAGAAACGCAG